GCGAAAGGAUCAUUACAGUAGUCGCCCGGGUUGCCGCAAGGCCUCCCGGGUAACCUACCACCCUUUGUUUAUCACACUUUGUUGCUUUGGCAGGCCUGCCCUCGGGCUGCUGGCUCCGGCCGGCGAGCGCCUGCCAGAGGACCUAAACUCUGUUUGUCUAUACUGUCUGAGUACUAUAUAAUAGUUAAAACUUUCAACAACGGAUCUCUUGGUUCUGGCAUCGAUGAAGAACGCAGCGAAAUGCGAUAAGUAAUGUGAAUUGCAGAAUUCAGUGAAUCAUCGAAUCUUUGAACGCACAUUGCGCCCCCUGGUAUUCCGGGGGGCAUGCCUGUCCGAGCGUCAUUACAACCCUCAAGCUCAGCUUGGUGUUGGGCCCCGCCGCCCCGGCGGGCCCUAAAGUCAGUGGCGGUGCCGUCCGGCUCCGAGCGUAGUAAUUCUUCUCGCUCUGGAGGCCCGGUCGCGUGCCCGCCAGCAACCCCCAAUUUUUUUCAGGUUGACCUCGGAUCAGGUAGGGAUACCCGCUGAACUUAAGCAUAUCAAUAAGCGGGAAGGAA
RNAcentral lists this ribosomal RNA (554 nucleotides) under Geomyces sp. APA-2013. RNAcentral describes it as "eukaryotic LSU rRNA". The stretch from base 189 to 342 matches the Rfam family "5.8S ribosomal RNA". The record is from RNAcentral. Lineage: Eukaryota; Fungi; Ascomycota; Leotiomycetes; Thelebolales; Pseudeurotiaceae.